Non-coding RNA from Cinara cedri, 435 nucleotides. The record is from the annotation of a GenBank genome assembly. Lineage: Eukaryota; Metazoa; Arthropoda; Insecta; Hemiptera; Aphididae.
ACCAUCUGUUUAAAAACUAUGUAAAAACUUGCCAAUAUAAAAUUUCUAUGUAGUAAAAUUGAAAGUAAAAGGGUUGGUAGGUAGUUGUACUAUACAGAUAUAGGUAGUAAAAAUAGAAAGAUGAGUGAUAAAAUUAGGAAAAUAUGUCAGUAUGAAGAUUAGAAGAAAAGAGUCGAAUAGAAGGUAUGCAGUAGAUUGUACUCGUAUAAUGAAAAAGAGAGUUUUAUGGAUCAUAGAUCAGCAGGGAUGCAGGGUACAUUAGGUAUAAUUUGUAGUGUUCUAAAAUAAUAUUCUUUGUGUAUAAGAUGUAUAACACUAGCACGAAGUCAUUUAUAUGUGGAUGAAUGUAUGUAUAAAUCAGGGAUUUGAACCGAAUUGAAAAUAAACAGUUCUGGAAGCCAAAAACUCUUAAAAUAUUGGGAACCAGAACAGAAU